CCUCAAAGGGGUUGUGUCCCAGAAGGUCGUGGGGCCUCGCGCCCCCCACGGGACCCUUUCCUCAGUCAGUUGAGCAUUCAAAGAGCAACUGUCAUUGCCUCCAGGCUUUUGCCCUGGGGCAGCUGAGCCCUCUCCACUGGUAGGCAGGCUGAGCCACCAGGGCAACGAAAGAUUGACAACUGUAAAGGAAAGGGUGAGGACAACAAGGGAGAUGAAAUCAAGCAGCCUCACUCAGGCUUCCCAGCUUGCCUUGUGCCGGGGUCCUGGAACUGAGCGAGGAGUUGGUGAAGACUCAGGGUAUCCACUGGGAAUACUUUUGAUUGCCCUGGAAAGAAUUUAUGGGAGGACAGAGGAAAGAGUCAGAAAAUAUGAGGAGAUGUCAUUUGGACACAAUCUACACCACUGGUGAAAACUUUCAUGUUGAUAAGAUCACAGAUCUAUUAAAACAGAAAUAUUUGAAACUAUGAAGAACCAUUGUUUACCUGAGCUCUGAAAAUAAUGUUUGAUGGGCUGUUACCUAGCAGGUCAUGUGAUUCCAAAUUUUAAUCUUAGUUGGCAGUUAGAUUGGAAAAAUAAUGGAAUUACCAAAGCCUUAUUCCUCAAUAUUAAUUGUUUAUUUCUAUUUUUAGUGAAGCUAGGAAAACUGGUUUGUGUCUAUUCAAGGUGAUUCUCUUGUGAAUAUCCAUCUGAAGGGCACCAUGUGACCUCCUGUAAUAUAUUGACUUCUGUUAUAGUUAGCUUUGUCUGUCUUAUCCCCUUUUGUUUCCCAUAGCUUCUUCUUGAUACCUUGCAAAUUAUGAGAACUCAAUAAAUGUUUGUUGAAUGAAUUUUGUAUUAUUAGU
Molecule: long non-coding RNA, 842 nt
Filed under: Monodelphis domestica (gray short-tailed opossum)
Lineage: Eukaryota; Metazoa; Chordata; Mammalia; Didelphimorphia; Didelphidae
Description: lncRNA (ENSMODG00000044722.1)
Source: RNAcentral